GACGAACGCUGGCGGCGUGCCUAAUACAUGCAAGUAGAACGCUGAAGGAGGAGCUUGCUUCUCUGGAUGAGUUGCGAACGGGUGAGUAACGCGUAGGUAACCUGCCUGGUAGCGGGUGAUAACUAUGGAAACGAUAGCUAAUACCGCAUAAAAUUGAUUAUUGCAUGAUAGUCAAUUAAAAGGUGCAAUUGCAUCACUACCAGAUGGACCUGCGUUGUAUUAGCUAGUUGGUGAGGUAACGGCUCACCAAGGCAACGAUACAUAGCCGACCUGAGAGGGUGAUCGGCCACACUGGGACUGAGACACGGCCCAGACUCCUACGGGAGGCAGCAGUAGGGAAUCUUCGGCAAUGGACGGAAGUCUGACCGAGCAACGCCGCGUGAGUGAAGAAGGUUUUCGGAUCGUAAAGCUCUGUCGUAAAGAGAAGAAACGAAGUGUGAGAAGUGGAAAAGUCA
This 455-nucleotide ribosomal RNA is filed under the name Streptococcus sp. oral taxon 058. RNAcentral describes it as "bacterial SSU rRNA". It matches the Rfam family "Bacterial small subunit ribosomal RNA", at positions 28 to 474 of the family's 1533-position model. The record is from RNAcentral. Lineage: Bacteria; Bacillati; Bacillota; Bacilli; Lactobacillales; Streptococcaceae.